RNAcentral lists this ribosomal RNA (492 nucleotides) under uncultured bacterium. RNAcentral's name for it is "partial 16S ribosomal RNA". It matches the Rfam family "Bacterial small subunit ribosomal RNA", at positions 29 to 507 of the family's 1533-position model. The record is from RNAcentral.
AGUGAACGCUGGCGGUAGGCCUAACACAUGCAAGUCGGACGGCAGCACAGUAAGAGCUUGCUCUUACGGGUGGCGAGUGGCGGACGGGUGAGGAAUACAUCGGAAUCUACUUUUUCGUGGGGGAUAACGUAGGGAAACUUACGCUAAUACCGCAUACGACCUACGGGUGAAAGCAGGGGAUCUUCGGACCUUGCGCGAUUGAAUGAGCCGAUGUCGGAUUAGCUAGUUGGCGGGGUAAAGGCCCACCAAGGCGACGAUCCGUAGCUGGUCUGAGAGGGUGAUCCGCCACACUGGAACUGAGACACGGUCCAGACUCCUAAGGGAGGCAGCAGUGGGGAAUAUUGGACAAUGGGCGCAAGCCUGAUCCAGCCAUACCGCGUGGGUGAAGAAGGCCUUCGGGUUGUAAAGCCCUUUUGUUGGGAAAGAAAAGCAGCAGGUUAAUACCCCGCUGUUCUGACGGUACCCAAAGAAUAAGCACCGGCUAACUUCGUG